GGUUAAGUUAGAAAGGGCGCACGGUGGAUGCCUUGACACUAGGAGUCGAUGAAGGACGGGACUAACGCCGAUAUGCUUCGGGGAGCUGUAAGUAAGCUUUGAUCCGAAGAUUUCCGAAUGGGGGAAACCCACCAUACGUAAUGGUAUGGUAUCCUUAUCUGAAUACAUAGGGUAAGGAAGACAGACCCAGGGAACUGAAACAUCUAAGUACCUGGAGGAAGAGAAAGCAAAUGCGAUUUCCUGAGUAGCGGCGAGCGAAACGGAACAUAGCCCAAACCAAGAGGCUUGCCUCUUGGGGUUGUAGGACAUUCUAUACGGAGUUACAAAGGAACGAGGUAGACGAAGCGACCUGGAAAGGUCCGUCGUAGAGGGUAACAACCCCGUAGUCGAAACUUCGUUCUCUCUUGAAUGUAUCCUGAGUACGGCGGAACACGUGAAAUUCCGUCGGAAUCUGGGAGGACCAUCUCCCAAGGCUAAAUACUCCCUAGUGAUCGAUAGUGAACCAGUACCGUGAGGGAAAGGUGAAAAGCACCCCGGAAGGGGAGUGAAAGAGAUCCUGAAACCGUGUGCCUACAAAUAGUCAGAGCCCGUUAACGGGUGAUGGCGUGCCUUUUGUAGAAUGAACCGGCGAGUUACGAUCCCGUGCGAGGUUAAGCUGAAGAGGCGGAGCCGCAGCGAAAGCGAGUCUGAAUAGGGCGUUUAGUACGUGGUCGUAGACCCGAAACCAGGUGAUCUACCCAUGUCCAGGGUGAAGUUCAGGUAACACUGAAUGGAGGCCCGAACCCACGCACGUUGAAAAGUGCGGGGAUGAGGUGUGGGUAGCGGAGAAAUUCCAAUCGAACCUGGAGAUAGCUGGUUCUCCCCGAAAUAGCUUUAGGGCUAGCCUUAAGUGUAAGAGUCUUGGAGGUAGAGCACUGAUUGGACUAGGGGUCCUCAUCGGAUUACCGAAUUCAGUCAAACUCCGAAUGCCAAUGACUUAUCCUUAGGAGUCAGACUGCGAGUGAUAAGAUCCGUAGUCAAAAGGGAAACAGCCCAGACCGCCAGCUAAGGUCCCAAAGUGUGUAUUAAGUGGAAAAGGAUGUGGAGUUGCUUAGACAACUAGGAUGUUGGCUUAGAAGCAGCCACCAUUUAAAGAGUGCGUAAUAGCUCACUAGUCGAGUGACUCUGCGCCGAAAAUGUACCGGGGCUAAAUACACCACCGAAGCUGCGGAUUGAUACCAAUGGUAUCAGUGGUAGGGGAGCGUUCUAAGGACAGUGAAGUCAGACCGGAAGGACUGGUGGAGUGCUUAGAAGUGAGAAUGCCGGUAUGAGUAGCGAAAGACGGGUGAGAAUCCCGUCCACCGAAUGCCUAAGGUUUCCUGAGGAAGGCUCGUCCGCUCAGGGUUAGUCAGGACCUAAGCCGAGGCCGACAGGCGUAGGCGAUGGACAACAGGUUGAUAUUCCUGUACCACCUCUUUAUCGUUUGAGCAAUGGAGGGACGCAGAAGGAUAGAAGAAGCGUGCGAUUGGUUGUGCACGUCCAAGCAGUUAGGCUGAUAAGUAGGCAAAUCCGCUUAUCGUGAAGGCUGAGCUGUGAUGGGGAAGCUCCUUAUGGAGCGAAGUCUUUGAUUCCCCGCUGCCAAGAAAAGCUUCUAGCGAGAUAAAAAGGUGCCUGUACCGCAAACCGACACAGGUAGGCGAGGAGAGAAUCCUAAGGUGUGCGAGAGAACUCUGGUUAAGGAACUCGGCAAAAUGACCCCGUAACUUCGGGAGAAGGGGUGCUUUCUUAACGGAAAGCCGCAGUGAAUAGGCCCAAGCGACUGUUUAGCAAAAACACAGCUCUCUGCGAAGCCGUAAGGCGAAGUAUAGGGGGUGACACCUGCCCGGUGCUGGAAGGUUAAGGAGAGGGGUUAGCGUAAGCGAAGCUCUGAACUGAAGCCCCAGUAAACGGCGGCCGUAACUAUAACGGUCCUAAGGUAGCGAAAUUCCUUGUCGGGUAAGUUCCGACCCGCACGAAAGGUGUAACGAUUUGGGCACUGUCUCAACCAGAGACUCGGUGAAAUUAUAGUACCUGUGAAGAUGCAGGUUACCCGCGACAGGACGGAAAGACCCCGUGGAGCUUUACUGUAGCCUGAUAUUGAAUUUUGGUACAGUUUGUACAGGAUAGGCGGGAGCCUUUGAAACCGGAGCGCUAGCUUCGGUGGAGGCGCUGGUGGGAUACCGCCCUGACUGUAUUGAAAUUCUAACCUACGGGUCUUAUCGACCCGGGAGACAGUGUCAGGUGGGCAGUUUGACUGGGGCGGUCGCCUCCUAAAGUGUAACGGAGGCGCCCAAAGGUUCCCUCAGAAUGGUUGGAAAUCAUUCGUAGAGUGCAAAGGCAUAAGGGAGCUUGACUGCGAGACCUACAAGUCGAGCAGGGACGAAAGUCGGGCUUAGUGAUCCGGUGGUUCCGCAUGGAAGGGCCAUCGCUCAACGGAUAAAAGCUACCCCGGGGAUAACAGGCUUAUCUCCCCCAAGAGUCCACAUCGACGGGGAGGUUUGGCACCUCGAUGUCGGCUCAUCGCAUCCUGGGGCUGUAGUCGGUCCCAAGGGUUGGGCUGUUCGCCCAUUAAAGCGGUACGCGAGCUGGGUUCAGAACGUCGUGAGACAGUUCGGUCCCUAUCCGUCGUGGGCGUAGGAAAUUUGAGAGGAGCUGUCCUUAGUACGAGAGGACCGGGAUGGACGCACCGCUGGUGUACCAGUUGUUCUGCCAAGGGCAUAGCUGGGUAGCUAUGUGCGGAAGGGAUAAGUGCUGAAAGCAUCUAAGCAUGAAGCCCCCCUCAAGAUGAGAUUUCCCAUAGCGUAAGCUAGUAAGAUCCCUGAAAGAUGAUCAGGUUGAUAGGUUCGAGGUGGAAGCAUGGUGACAUGUGGAGCUGACGAAUACUAAUAGAUCGAGGACUUAACCAUAUA
This 2927-nucleotide ribosomal RNA is filed under the name Bacillus cereus FRI-35. Its description in RNAcentral is "bacterial LSU rRNA". It matches the Rfam family "Bacterial large subunit ribosomal RNA". The record is from RNAcentral. Lineage: Bacteria; Bacillati; Bacillota; Bacilli; Caryophanales; Bacillaceae.